AGGGCUGUAACUCAGUGGCAGAGUGCUUGCCUAGCAUGCAUGAGGCACUGGGUUCAAUCCUCAGUUCCA
RNAcentral lists this transfer RNA (69 nucleotides) under Ictidomys tridecemlineatus (thirteen-lined ground squirrel). RNAcentral describes it as "Spermophilus tridecemlineatus (thirteen-lined ground squirrel) tRNA". It matches the Rfam family "tRNA". Rfam says of the family: Transfer RNA (tRNA) molecules are approximately 80 nucleotides in length. Their secondary structure includes four short double-helical elements and three loops (D, anti-codon, and T loops). The record is from Rfam by way of RNAcentral. Lineage: Eukaryota; Metazoa; Chordata; Mammalia; Rodentia; Sciuridae.